This is a long non-coding RNA of Bactrocera latifrons, 1262 nucleotides long. RefSeq lists it as uncharacterized. The record is from RefSeq and is a predicted model, not a curated record. Lineage: Eukaryota; Metazoa; Arthropoda; Insecta; Diptera; Tephritidae. The transcript has 4 exons.
CAAUAGCUGUGGAACUGUCAAAACUGUUGCAAAAUAUUCAAUCAAUUUGUUAGUUUAAAUAUCAAAUGGUUGAAUAUCAAGAUGAUGGACUUUGUUUCUUUUUAUUUGAGCUAUAGUGAGAGUGAUGGGGAUGAAAAAAUAGUGCGGAGGCAACUAAGAGAUCGGAGCAAUGCUUUGGCACUGCCGAAUACAGCAUUUUUAAAACGAUUUCGUCUAACUAAAUAGGCUUUUGAAUAUGUCCUAAAUAGUAUAUGUUUAACGCAAUCUGACGUCAGAGCAGUGCCUCCAGUGCUACAAUUAGCAACCACGCUCUCGCAUUUGGCUAGUGGUGGAUACCAGCACAGUGUAGGCAGUGACUAUUUGAUUGGGAUUUGUCAAAGCACUGUUUCGAAGCUGACAUUACAUGUGCUUAAAGAAAUGGAAGCGAAGUUGUGCCCGCAGUUUAUACGGUUUACACCAGAGGAUUCCCUUACGUGUAAGGAGUGGUUUGUGCAGCAACAUAAAAUUCCUGGAGAAUUUUUAGUUAUUUGGUGCGUUGAUGGUACCCACAGUGAACGAGCACAUGUACUCCAAUAGAAAAGGCUACCAUAGUAUCAAUGCUUCAAUAUAUGUAUGUACAUAUAUGUAUAUUUGUUAAAUUUUGUGGUGUCAGAUAUGUGAUCAUACUUACAAAAUUUUGGCAAUUAACUGUCAAUACGGUGGUGCAGCCCACGACCCAUUUGUUUGGAAACACUCGGACCAGAGAAGAGUUUUGGAAGAACGAUYUCAGCACAACAGGAAUGAAAAUUCAUAGCUUUUAGGGGAUUCUGGCUACCCAUUGGAACCAUGGUGCAUAACUCCUUACAGAAACGCUUCGAAUGAUACAAGUGAAGCUAUGUUUAAUGAAAUUCAUUCCAAGGCAAGAUGUAUCGUCGAACGAACUAUCGGAAUUUUAAAAGGACGCUGGAGAAUUUUAGGAUAUGGCAGGAGAGGAAGGUAUCAUCCGACAAAAGUGGCAAGAUUUGCUAACGUUUGUGCAGCAUUACACAACAUCUACAUAAAAUUUAAAAUAAAUUAUGAUCGUCAGAAUUGCGAUUCUGACCAAACAACGGAUAUCGACACCGGGGUGGCGAACCGCCUCUAUGUCGUUACCCUUGUAAAUUUCCUUCUAAACCGAAAUACAAAAAUUUUGUUCAUGUAAAUUCAUUAUUUUUUUUUUAUUAGUCCUUUCAUCACGCUUGUUGCUUUUAUCACCUUUCUAAUAUUUUACAUAAAUAAUAUUC